Molecule: ribosomal RNA, 857 nt
Filed under: uncultured bacterium
Lineage: Bacteria
Description: bacterial SSU rRNA
Rfam family: Bacterial small subunit ribosomal RNA
Source: RNAcentral
AGAGUUUGAUCCUGGCUCAGGAUGAACGCUAGCGGCAGGCCUAAUACAUGCAAGUCGGACGGGAUUGAGGAGCUUGCUCUUCAUGAGAGUGGCGCACGGGUGCGUAACACGUAUGUAACCUACCCAUAUCAGGGGGAUAGCCUCUCGAAAGAGAGAUUAAGCCCGCAUAAAAUCAGAUUAUGGCAUCAUAGACUGAUCAAAUAUUUAUAGGAUAUGGAUGGGCAUGCGGAACAUUAGCUAGUUGGUAAGGUAACGGCUUACCAAGGCUACGAUGUUUAGGGGAUCUGAGAGGAUGACCCCCCACACUGGUACUGAGACACGGACCAGACUCCUACGGGAGGCAGCAGUAAGGAAUAUUGGUCAAUGGACGGAAGUCUGAACCAGCCAUGCCGCGUGCAGGAAGACGGCCCUACGGGUUGUAAACUGCUUUUGUACCGGAAUAAACCUCGAUUCGUGAAUCGAGCUGAAUGUACGGUAAGAAUAAGGAUCGGCUAACUCCGUGCCAGCAGCCGCGGUAAUACGGAGGAUCCGAGCGUUAUCCAGAUUUAUUGGGUUUAAAGGGUGCGUAGGCGGCCUAUUAAGUCAGGGGUGAAAGACGGUAGCUUAACUAUCGCAGUGCCUUUGAUACUGAUAGGCUUGAAUGUACUUGAGGUAGGCGGAAUGUGACAAGUAGCGGUGAAAUGCAUAGAUAUGUCACAGAACACCAAUUGCGAAGGCAGCUUACUAAAGUAUGAUUGACGCUGAGGCACGAAAGCGUGGGGAUCAAACAGGAUUAGAUACCCUGGUAGUCCACGCCCUAAACGAUGAACACUCGAUGUUGGCGAUAUACGGUCAGCGUCUAAGCGAAAGCGUUAAGU